This 60-nucleotide transfer RNA is filed under the name Merluccius polli (Benguela hake). RNAcentral's name for it is "tRNA-Val". Lineage: Eukaryota; Metazoa; Chordata; Actinopteri; Gadiformes; Merlucciidae. The record is from RNAcentral.
UAGCUCAACCGGUAGGGCAUGGCAUUAACACUGCCAGGGGUUAGGGGUUCAAUUCCCUGU